GGUGAGUAACGCGUGGGAACGUACCCUUUACUACGGAACAACUCCGGGAAACUGGAGCUAAUACCGUAUGUGCCCUUUGGGGGAAAGAUUUAUCGGUAAAGGAUCGGCCCGCGUUGGAUUAGCUAGUUGGUGGGGUAAAGGCCUACCAAGGCGACGAUCCAUAGCUGGUCUGAGAGGAUGAUCAGCCACAUUGGGACUGAGACACGGCCCAAACUCCUACGGGAGGCAGCAGUGGGGAAUAUUGGACAAUGGGCGCAAGCCUGAUCCAGCCAUGCCGCGUGAAUGAUGAAGGCCUUAGGGUUGUAAAGUUCUUUCACCGGAGAAGAUAAUGACGGUAUCCGGAGAAGAAGCCCCGGCUAACUUCGUGCCAGCAGCCGCGGUAAUACGUAGGGUGCAAGCGUUAAUCGGAAUUACUGGGCGUAAAGCGUGCGCAGGCGGUUUUGUAAGACAGAGGUGAAAUCCCCGGGCUCAACCUGGGAACUGCCUUUGUGACUGCAAGGCUGGAGUGCGGCAGAGGGGGAUGGAAUUCCGCGUGUAGCAGUGAAAUGCGUAGAUAUGCGGAGGAACACCGAUGGCGAAGGCAAUCCCCUGGGCCUGCACUGACGCUCAUGCACGAAAGCGUGGGGAGCAAACAGGAUUAGAUACCCUGGUAGUCCACGCCCUAAACGAUGUCAACUGGUUGUUGGGAAUUCAUUUUCUCAGUAACGAAGCUAACGCGUGAAGUUGACCGCCUGGGAGUACGGCCGCAAGGCUAAAACUCAAAGGAAUUGACGGGGGCCC
RNAcentral lists this ribosomal RNA (780 nucleotides) under uncultured bacterium. RNAcentral describes it as "bacterial SSU rRNA". It matches the Rfam family "Bacterial small subunit ribosomal RNA", at positions 105 to 922 of the family's 1533-position model. The record is from RNAcentral.